This 252-nucleotide ribosomal RNA is filed under the name uncultured bacterium. Its description in RNAcentral is "partial 16S ribosomal RNA". It matches the Rfam family "Bacterial small subunit ribosomal RNA", at positions 524 to 770 of the family's 1533-position model. The record is from RNAcentral.
CACGUAGGCACCAAGCGUUGUCCGGAAUUAUUGGGCGUAAAGAGCUCGUAGGCGGUUUGUUGCGUCGGCUGUGAAAUCCCGAGGCUCAACCUCGGGUCUGCAGUCGAUACGAGCAAACUAGAGUGUUGCAGGGGAGACUGGAAUUCCUGGUGUAGCGGUGAAAUGCGCGAGAUAUCGAGGAGGAACACCGGUGGCGAAGGCGGAUCUCUGGGCCAUUACUGACGGCUGAGGAGCGAAAGGCGUAGGGGAGGC